GACCAGACAGCCAGCGCCGCGCGGGGGGGGGCGGCGUUAUGCUGCUCCCCGUUGUCGCCCGGAUACGGCGGCUUGGCUGCGGCAAAGACACCUGAUGGGAAAGGUGGGGAAUGCUCAGUCCUUCCAGCUCAUUUUCAGGCAGAAUGAAGCAGACUCAAAUGCAGCUGCAAAGGACAGUCAGAUGCUCACGAAGAGGAGCUGCCAGGCCAGCGAUUGGCUCUCUUGAACAAAUGGCAUGAGUAUGAGGAAGGAUCGAGGCCUUUUUCACCUUUCCCACUCCGUUAUAUCUGCUGGAUGAAGUGAAGACAUUGGAAGAGGAACACUACCACCAGAAGAAAGGCAUUUGGACAGAAGAAGACACUUAUUCUUCACUUGCUUUGACAAGGACUAUUCCCACCAUGACUGAAAUUCAAGACUUUUCUUCAAGUCAUGGGAAAGUAAAGCUUUUCAAAAGAGAUGACACCUUACUGCAAGAAAACAAAAAAAUCAACUGCCCCAAAACAAGAAAAAAAAGAAUAAAAAACUCUCAGCCCCAAAUCCUGAACAAACUUCAACUUACUAUUCUUCAACUAGCCAUGCUACCCAUCUAAAAUUUAUUCCUUUUGAGAAGUGACCUACCUUAUUCUCCAUCCAUUCUUGUGCUUCUUUUUGCAAGAUGUCUUGACAGAUCAUUGUGGAUACAGCUGAGAGGGCAAAAGGGCAUCAAAUUGAUGAGCAAAACUAAUUACUUAGACUUAAGAUGAAAGAGGGUAGACAAUGUAAACCAGAUCAUUGCUUUUGCUUAUAAAUGUAAAUUAUCGCUAUCCCCUGUACCCUCAAAAACAAUUAAGACAUUGUCUCAUGAAUAAAGGACCUCAGCUGUCAUAACUGCUAAGCAAGGAGUGAGGUUAGAAGGACAGAAGAACAAAGAUAAGAACUAAAUAACUGGAAGAUGGUGAGAGAGACUGAAGAGGGAGCUGGAAGAGGAGAUGUGGAAUCAUCCUAGAAUCUGCUUGCUCAGCUGAGGAACUGACUAGAAUGAGGAAGAAAAGAGAGCUGAGCCAAGUCAUUGCCAUUUAGUAAGCACACUGGAUGGACCACUCUCAUCCAUUAGUUCUCUUCUGCACUGAUCAAAGCUGUUCCAGUUACACUUCAUAGUGCUCAUCUCAAACAAAGCCAAAGUCAGCAAACCAUUUAAGCAAGGGCUUAAAAGUUCAUUUUUACUCUUCAUUUAAUAAAGUUUACACAACAUUGAAUCAA
This is a long non-coding RNA of Dromaius novaehollandiae (emu), 1239 nucleotides long. RefSeq lists it as uncharacterized. The record is from RefSeq and is a predicted model, not a curated record. The transcript has 3 exons. NCBI's taxonomy places the organism in Eukaryota, Metazoa, Chordata, Aves, Casuariiformes, Dromaiidae.